UGUAGCUAACGAAAUGAUCAGCUUCCUCUAUAGCAAGCCUACAUUCGUGUACCUCGCUUGAUCAUUCUUUCAUGAAGAGGAUUUAAUUGCUAAUAUGUGGAUCAGGAGCGGCGCUCCACCCUCAUCCAAUUUCCGAUGCUUCUCUGGCUCUCCUCCUACAGAGAUGACGAUUCAGUCCCCUAAACCAAUGAUUCAGGUUUAUAAACGAUCGCUCCUCUCCUUCUACCGCUCCUCUUCCACUUGAUCCAGCCGAUACAUAUGAUUGUUCCACACUCAAAGCUUGGCCCAACUCAUUACUGUGUACCCCAUCCGAGUUCAUUACUAUGUACCAAUUCAACAUCGAUUCCUCAAUCCAUCACUUUCCAGGGGAAAAGAUGCAAAAAUAUUUACGUAUUCUUGUGAGGUAGCCGAAGAAUGCUUCGAGAUGUGUCGUAGACUCAAAAUUUCCAUUUCUUGUGAGAAAGAGGAAUAAU
Cynara cardunculus var. scolymus (artichoke) is the source of this 473-nucleotide long non-coding RNA. RefSeq lists it as uncharacterized. The transcript is spliced from 4 exons. NCBI's taxonomy places the organism in Eukaryota, Viridiplantae, Streptophyta, Magnoliopsida, Asterales, Asteraceae. The record is from RefSeq and is a predicted model, not a curated record.